CUCAGAUCUCAAGCUGGUUUUUGCUCAUCUUGUGCCAUUACAAAAAGGACCAGGCCAUUUGCAUAUCUGACUGAUCCCAACCAAAAGGGAACAGAUUCAAAACACAGGACUGCUCUCUCUGCAUGAGAGACACUGCAACCCCAGACAAUCGCUUCAGCCUUGUUAGGCCUCGUCAGUGAGGUAUAGCGGAUAUCCCUCUAGGCAUCCCUCUAGGCAUCAUGAGCAAGGGGUCCACGUUUGGGUUACCCAUUUAACUCAUGGUGAGCAAAAAACAAGGAGAAAUUACCAUGUGUGUAGAGGCAUCUUACUCAAUUUCCCAAACUUAGAUCCAUAUGUAGAGAAAAAAAAUAGUGUAAUAAUUUGGUUGAUAACUAGUCAAAAAAAAAAAGAAUAGUCCUAUAACAUAAUAAUAUAAUAUUAAGGAAUAGCAACAGAAUUAUAUUAUUCUGUUAUAGGACUAUUCAUU
Molecule: non-coding RNA, 466 nt
Organism: Pelobates cultripes (western spadefoot toad)
Lineage: Eukaryota; Metazoa; Chordata; Amphibia; Anura; Pelobatidae
Source: the annotation of a GenBank genome assembly